AUGACUCAGUCUCCAUCCUCCUUGCCUGUGUCUCGUGAAGACAGAGUCACCCUCAACUGCAGGGCCAGUCAGGGUUUUGGCAGUAAUUUAAACUGGUACCAGAAGAAACUAGGGCAAGCUCCUAAGCUCCUCAUCUAUCUUGCAAUCAGUUUGCAACCUGGGAUCACCUCGAGGUUCAGUGGCAGUGGAUCUGGAACAGAUUUCACUCUUACCAUCAGCAGCCUGGAGCCUGAAGAUGUUGCCAAUUAUUACUGUCAACAAGGUAGCAGUUCCCCUCCCACAGUGACACAGGCCAUGACAAAAACCUUCCAGGGAGCCAAAGUGUGA
Ictidomys tridecemlineatus (thirteen-lined ground squirrel) is the source of this 327-nucleotide non-coding RNA. NCBI's taxonomy places the organism in Eukaryota, Metazoa, Chordata, Mammalia, Rodentia, Sciuridae. The record is from the annotation of a RefSeq genome assembly.